GAAGGUGUGCUGUGAGGCAUGCUGGAGGUAUCAGAAGUGCGAAUGCUGACAUAAGUAACGAUAAAGCGGGUGAAAAGCCCGCUCGCCGGAAGACCAAGGGUUCCUGUCCAACGUUAAUCGGGGCAGGGUGAGUCGACCCCUAAGGCGAGGCCGAAAGGCGUAGUCGAUGGGAAACAGGUUAAUAUUCCUGUACUUGGUGUUACUGCGAAGGGGGGACGGAGAAGGCUAUGUUGGCCGGGCGACGGUUGUCCCGGUUUAAGCGUGUAGGCUGGUUUUCCAGGCAAAUCCGGAAAAUCAAGGCUGAGGCGUGAUGACGAGGCACUACGGUGCUGAAGCAACAAAUGCCCUGCUUCCAGGAAAAGCCUCUAAGCAUCAGGUAACAUCAAAUCGUACCCCAAACCGACACAGGUGGUCAGGUAGAGAAUACCAAGGCGCUUGAGAGAACUCGGGUGAAGGAACUAGGCAAAAUGGUGCCGUAACUUCGGGAGAAGGCACGCUGAUAUGUAGGUGAAG
This 513-nucleotide ribosomal RNA is filed under the name Escherichia coli. Its description in RNAcentral is "bacterial LSU rRNA". It matches the Rfam family "Bacterial large subunit ribosomal RNA", at positions 1252 to 1767 of the family's 2925-position model. The record is from RNAcentral. Lineage: Bacteria; Pseudomonadati; Pseudomonadota; Gammaproteobacteria; Enterobacterales; Enterobacteriaceae. RNAcentral also lists the same sequence under 1 other name.